Molecule: unclassified non-coding RNA, 5684 nt
Filed under: Nilaparvata lugens (brown planthopper)
Lineage: Eukaryota; Metazoa; Arthropoda; Insecta; Hemiptera; Delphacidae
Description: mitogen-activated protein kinase kinase kinase 15, transcript variant X1
Source: RNAcentral
UGUUUUUCGUUGUUGAGUUGAAGAGAAGAUCGUCUUCUGUGGGGAAUUUUUUCUAAAAAUUAAAAAAUCUGUUCUAUAUUUGAUAAUUUGAGGCAUGUCAGUUCUGGUAUUAUUUUCAAAUCAAAACUUUCCACAACGAAAUAUUGAAUUUCUCUUUAUUUAAAUGAUAGAUAUGGCUUCAGCUGACCCAGAUGUAACAAUUACGGUAUCUAGUAUUCUGAAUCUGGACAUAAAUUUACUCAUUAACGUACUUAAACAUGCCUAGUUCAAUUUCAGUUAUUUCUGAUGUUGAUUUAAUUGAGAGCAAAAGUGUAGCUGGCUCUGAAAGCGCAAUCAGUCAGGAUGGAUGUGCACGAUCUCGUAUGGACAUAGUGUGUGUCAUUGAUCUUCAUGUGCAGCAGAAUUUGGCCUCCAGAAAACGAGCUCUCGAAGAAGUGAAGCAAGCCUGCUCAUUGGUUAAUGCCAAUUGUCACUAUGUUCAGUUUGAAAAAUUGGAUUUCGGAGAGUCAAAUGUUCUCACGAUGUUCUACAAUGCGGAUGUUGCCAUCGUUGACCUGUCUUUACAACAUCAGCAAAGCGCUCUCUUCUACCACUUGGGCGUUAGAGAGAGUUUUGGCAUGAAAGAAAAUUUACUACUGUACACAGAUACUGAUCUUGAAACUACUUUGCGAUUAAAGCUAUCUUGUGGAGGUUAUACGUUCAUUUCGUACAAACUGAAUGAAUGCGGCUCGUGCGUCACCACCAGUCCAACGACAGCUCGCAUCCCAAGCAAAGACUCAGCAUUGGACCAUCAACACCAGUCCAUAAGUGUAACAGUCAUAUUGAAAAAACUUCUACAAGUUGUCGAAGUUCAAGCCAAAGUACAUAUAAAAGAGAAAUUCUUAACGGAUCUCAGGAAAGCACAAGAGACGUACACAGAUGAAGAAUUGUCGAAGGUACUCCACAAUUUGAGGAAGAGACUUGAUGAUCCCCAUGUCCUAUGCGGAGAAGUUGUUCUUAGUAUGUUGAUAUCCUUCAGAGACAUUCAGGAUUAUGAUGCAAUGGUACAAUUGGUUGAAGAUUUGAAAACCAUACCGAACAAGAAGAUUUAUAUUCAAACUCCAUAUAUCACGUUUCUUUAUCCUUUCGCAUUAAACAGGCGAAACAAAGAAGGCGACAGAGAAAAAGCGUUGAAAGUUAUCGAGCAUGCUUUGGAAAAGAAAGAGAACCAAAUACAAGAUAUGGUUUGUCUCUGCGGACGCAUUUACAAAGAUAUAUUCGUUGAGUCGCAAUACGAGGACAAAUCCAGUUUGAAGAAUGCCAUUCAUUGGUAUCGCAAAGGGUUCGAAGUGCAGCCUAAUGAAUAUGCCGGUAUAAAUCUGGCUACUUUGCUAGUCAUUGAAGGCAAUGAAUUCUCCAAAUCCGAAGAGCUUCAACACAUCGCUAUGGUAUUGAACAAUCUGAUUGGCAAGAAGGGAAGUCUGUCAUCGUUGCAAGACUACUGGGAUGUGGCCACAUUCUUCGAGAUCAGCGUGCUGGCCGAGGACUACGGCAAAGCAAUCCAGGCAGCUGAGUGCAUGUUCAAGCUCAAACCGCCCAACUGGUUUCUAAAAUCGACAAUAGGUAACAUAACACUAAUAGAUAAAUUUCGAAAGAAAGCUGAUGAAUCGGAGUCUUCACCCGAGGAGCAGAUUUUCGAAUUCUGGAUGGACUAUUUCAUUGAAGCUACAAAGACUGAAGUAACCGACAGUAUACGAUUCCCCAUUCUAGUCCUGGAACCGAGUAAAAUCUACAUGCCUAGCUACGUCAUUGUAAAUCUUGGAGCCGAAGAGAAAUCUAUUCAAAUUUGUAACUUAUGCAUGGACAACAUGCGCGGAAAAUGUCGACAAGUACACGAUUGGCUAUUCACUGCCAGCACUAUUAAAAGUGUCAGCUUGUACAAAAGAGAUGAACGAUGUUUAUUCUUGUAUGUUCAUCAGAACUCGGAUGAUUUUCAAAUGUUCUUUCCAUCGGUUCUAUGGAGACAAAUGUUCUACGAUUUAGUUCUGGAACUGACUGCCGACCAAGAAGGCAUAGUAACUGGACUGGAUUCAGAUCUCAGUAAUGAGCAGAUCAAAUUUGAGUAUGAACUCGAUGACCAAGGAAAGCGAAUUCUUCUGGGUAAAGGUACUUAUGGUGUUGUAUAUCAGGCGAGAGAUCUCAAUACACAAGUCAGAAUAGCAGUGAAGGAAAUUCCUGAGAAGAAUUUAGGUGAUGUUCAACCGUUGCACGAAGAAAUCAAACUUCACUCACAGCUUAGGCAUCGUAACAUUGUUCAGUAUCUUGGAUCAGUUUCCGAAGAUGGUUACUUCAAGAUAUUCAUGGAACAGGUGCCUGGAGGAAGCUUGUCUGCCCUUCUGAGAUCUAAAUGGGGACCAUUGAAAGAGAAUGAGUCCACAAUAUCAUUCUACACUAAACAAAUUUUAGAAGGAUUAAAAUAUCUGCACGAUCAAAAAAUAGUUCACAGAGAUAUUAAAGGUGAUAAUGUUUUGGUGAAUACGUACAGUGGUGUUGUCAAAAUAUCAGACUUUGGUACAUCCAAGAGAUUGGCUGGUUUAUGUCCAAGCACUGAAACAUUCACCGGGACUCUGCAAUAUAUGGCACCCGAGGUCAUUGACAAAGGGCAGAGAGGUUAUGGAGCACCGGCUGACAUCUGGUCCCUGGGCUGUACUAUUGUUGAAAUGGCCACCGGAAAACCACCAUUCAUCGAGCUGGGCUCGCCACAAGCAGCUGUUUUCAAAGUUGGAUACUACAAAGUGCACCCUGAAAUUCCCUCUGAGCUCUCUGAAAAAGCCAAGAGUUUCAUUUUACGCUGCUUCGAACCAGAUCCGAACAAAAGAGCAAUGGCUCCCAACCUUCUUGAAGACACCUUCCUAACCGAGAAGAAGAAAACAUCAAGGGCACUGAUAGCACCUCAAGAGUUUAGUCGAAGCAUCUCAGUUCCAAGUGAGAGAAUAGUCAACAAAGUAUUAAUCAAAAACAACUCGGAGUGUACUUCCACUCUAAGUAACUGCAGUUCAGUAUUAAGCAAUCAGGUGCCAACCACACCCAUGGAAGAAACUUGCUGGAUGACCACUAAAACUCACCCUGUCAACCACAAGGUGGCUUCUUUGCUCCCGCCUAUCAGCAUGCCCCCAACUGCUGCCUUCUCUUGCAACAGCCUGCCGAACUCGACAUGCGACACGGAUGCCAGCCUGACUCGAAGGAGCUCGUCGGGCGGUCUGAUGUCCCCCGAGGUGGAUGGAGGGCCGAGGACGGCUGCAGGAGCACCCACCGAACAGGAUGGCUUUUAUCUGCUCAAGAAGGACUCUCAGCGCCGCAUGACUCUGUCCAGAGUGUUAAGUCAAGAUCAGAGGAAGAUCUGCGAGGUCUGGUUGAGGAACAUCAAUCCGGACAUCGGCGAGACCGUUUUGAAUAUGGGCCAUUUAGAAGUAUUAAUGCGAGGAUUAAGGGAUUAUAUAGCUGAUCAAAAGAAGGAGGUUAUUGAGAAUGCAAUUCACUGUUUGAAAGAAGACCUGGACUUUGAUUCUGUCGCAAUCAACCAACUACACUAUGCUCUCUAUUUAUUUCAAGAUGCUCGUUUAUCGAGUGAAUCUUGAAAAGGUGAACACAGUUCUGAGGCUGCAUAGCAUAAAACCACAUUGGAUGUUCGCUUUGGACAAUCUCGUACGAACUGCUGUCCAAGCUGCAAUCACUGUUAUAUCACCUGAGCUGGGCGCCAACCUGGCUGGACAGGACACGCGCGACGGGGGCGCCGCCGGUGGGGACGGGGUGGAGGUGGGGGGCACCGCCUCUGUGCUCUCAACCGUCAACUCACUCAAAUCGCACAAGACCAGCAUCGACAGCUUUGCCAGCUCGUUGAAAAUGAGGCACGAGUAUCGCGAUCAACUUCUUUCGCUCAGAGUUGAAAAUAACAGGCUACUCCAGGAGCUAGUUGAUGGGCAUACCAUGUAUCAGACCUUAUUGAAGCAUGCUGUUGAGGAUAACAAAUCGCAGCUAACUCUUCUAAAGCAGCUAGUGGAACAGAUGAGUUUCAUAGCCAGUCUAGUUCAAAAUGAACGUGGAAACAGUGUUUCAGUGGAAUCUGACUGUUCUCGAAAUUCUCCGGAAUCAACCAAUCAAAUACCUCCUCAAAUCAAUGUAACUGACAGCUCUUCAGAUAACAAAUUGGUAGAGUGGUUACAGAAUAUUGGUCUGGAUCAACGAUCUAUUGAUAAGUUCCUGUUAGAAGAAUACUGCCUUGAAGAUAUUUUGUACUACGUAAACCGUGAAGACAUACGAAGACUCAGAUUAAGAGGUGGAGUUGAGCUACGAGUUUGGAAAGCAAUAACAAAGUGGAGAAAGGAGCAUAGACCGCCGUGUGACAUUGCCAGGCGAAAAUCCCUAUCAAUCUUAGAUCCAUCUUCCAACUGCCUUGCAAACAGAAAGACUGAGUCUGUUGAUCAAUCAUGAAAAUCGUCCAUUCAUGGAACAAACAGAAAGCUCUCUCUAUGGUUUACUAAAUAAUUGUAAGUUAUUCGCCAAUCAGUGUCUUAUUCAAUAAGCUUUAAUUUGUAUAGUGCCAUAUUCGAUCAUUUCAGUUUAUUUAACAAGUUAAGAAUAGAUAAUCCAUUAUCACUGUAUUAUAUAAUAUUCUACUGUAUAUAUACAAUAAGGCAUUUCAGUCAGAAAACGUCACUGUACUUCUAUUCAUUUAGAUACGUACUAAAAUUGUUUGAUAUAGAUUUUUUAGUUUACAUGAUGUUGUCUAAAUUUGUAUUGUUUUUCAUUAAUUUUGCAUCAAAUUAUUUUUCUAUUCAUCUUGUAUAUUUUAUAUACAGCACUUGAGCUAUAAUCUAUAGCUUUAUUAUAAAUUAAUUUCAUAUUAAUCUAAAAUUCCAACUGGAAUACAUGAGUUGGGUCUUGUCUUCCACUUUCUUUUAAAGUAUUGACUUGAAUAAUCCACCUGUGUUUUCAAAAUAUUAUCAUAUUUUUCCAAUGUGCCAAAUUUAUUUUCAUCUUUCCCUUGAAAAUAUGUGGAUCUUCAUCUGCAUGUGGUAUAUGAGUUUCCCAUUAUUCAAUUUAAUCCAUUAACAUCAUCAUUUGUUAUUUUGCAAAAAUCGUCUACUUUUCAUCAAUUCCGGUUAUUGUGAUUGAACGUUAUUAGCCUGGAUAAGCUAAAGGCUAUUUAUUAAAAAUCUUCAUACAUAGUUUGCUUAUCCUUUUAAACUGUAGAGCAUUUAUUGUUCCACUUUUUAAUCUCGUUAUUUCGGGGAAUUUUAUUGAUAUUGAUAGAAGCGGUUGUAAUAAUGUAUAAUUUGAGUAUCUCUUGUAUUACAGAUAUUUUACAGUAAGUAGCUACUGUUAUAGACUACAGGGAAUGUAGUUCGGUUUCCCUUCUCGUUUUUUUUGUUAAUUUUACUGUAUUUUUGCAAUUCACUGUAUUGAAUUUUUUGUUGUAAUUUUCAAGUUAUAAAUUUGAAACUAGGACUUUUAACAUUUAAUGUUGUAUUUCAAAAAGUGUAUAUUAAUCAAGUUUAUUAAUGUUAUUUGUUUCCUAGAUGAAUUCUAUUUAUACCAAAAUGGAGUAUUAGAUGAUUCGUUUGUUCAUGUAAUAUUAUUGAUACUGAGACGUUUGUGAAAGUAAAAUUGUUUAUGGAGUAAUAAAAUUAAAUACGAAUAAUGAA